GUAUUAUUGGACCAAUGCGCUUUAGCUUUACUGCCGAGUCCAUCAGCUGAACAACACCCGCUGAUUCAGAAUAUUUGAGCUGUGGUAUCAAGAUGGAUGCUGACAAUGAAGCCAAAGGGAAGGUGAGCGACCAGGCGAUGCAGAACCCACAAGCGUUGGCAGCUCUUCAGGACAAAAUAGACAGUGUCUCACAUAGUGCUUCCAUCAUGGACAGGUAAGCAAGAUGAA
Molecule: long non-coding RNA, 228 nt
Organism: Sinocyclocheilus rhinocerous
Lineage: Eukaryota; Metazoa; Chordata; Actinopteri; Cypriniformes; Cyprinidae
Exons: 3
Source: RefSeq, a predicted model, not a curated record